This 253-nucleotide ribosomal RNA is filed under the name uncultured bacterium. RNAcentral describes it as "partial 16S ribosomal RNA". It matches the Rfam family "Bacterial small subunit ribosomal RNA", at positions 524 to 776 of the family's 1533-position model. The record is from RNAcentral.
GACGAACCGUGCGACCGUUGUUCGGAAUCACUGGGCUUAAAGGGCGCGUAGGCGGUCUGCCAAGUCCGGGGUGAAAGCCCCCAGCUCAACUGGGGAAGUGCCUUGGAUACUGGCGGACUUGAGGGAGGCAGGGGUUGUGGGAACUUCCGGUGGAGCGGUGAAAUGCGUUGAUAUCGGAAGGAACGCCGGUGGCGAAAGCGCACAACUGGUCCUCUUCUGACGCUGAGGCGCGAAAGCCAGGGGAGCAAACGGG